CGGCGGAGAGGUGCGCGAGCGCCCGUUCGCGUUCGCCGAGCGAGAUGUAGAUCUCGGCCAUCCGGUAGUUCGCCUCCGCCUCCGCCGAC
This 89-nucleotide transfer RNA is filed under the name Myxococcaceae bacterium. RNAcentral's name for it is "tRNA-Glu". Lineage: Bacteria; Pseudomonadati; Myxococcota; Myxococcia; Myxococcales; Myxococcaceae. The record is from RNAcentral.